UGUACCGGGGCACACAAAGUCUGCGUGUCCA
Molecule: non-coding RNA, 31 nt
Filed under: Mus musculus (house mouse)
Lineage: Eukaryota; Metazoa; Chordata; Mammalia; Rodentia; Muridae
Source: RNAcentral